RNAcentral lists this ribosomal RNA (370 nucleotides) under uncultured bacterium. RNAcentral describes it as "bacterial SSU rRNA". It matches the Rfam family "Bacterial small subunit ribosomal RNA", at positions 524 to 898 of the family's 1533-position model. The record is from RNAcentral.
UACGUAGGGGGCAAGCGUUAUCCGGAAUUACUGGGCGUAAAGGGUGCGUAGGUGGCCUGAUAAGUCAGGGGUCAAAGGCAACGGCUCAACCGUUGUAAGCCCUUGAAACUAUCGGGCUUGAGUUCAGGAGAGGAAAGCGGAAUUCCAAGUGUAGCGGUGAAAUGCGUAGAUAUUUGGAGGAACACCAGUGGCGAAGGCGGCUUUCUGGACUGAUACUGACACUGAGGCACGAAAGCGUGGGGAGCAAACAGGAUUAGAUACCCUGGUAGUCCACGCCGUAAACGAUGAGUACUAGGUGUUGGCCCUAAGGGUCGGUGCCGCAGUUAACACAUUAAGUACUCCGCCUGGGAAGUACGCUCGCAAGAGUGAA